This is a long non-coding RNA of Tachysurus fulvidraco (yellow catfish), 356 nucleotides long. RefSeq lists it as uncharacterized. The record is from RefSeq and is a predicted model, not a curated record. Lineage: Eukaryota; Metazoa; Chordata; Actinopteri; Siluriformes; Bagridae. The transcript has 4 exons.
GUUUAGUUUAAUUUCCAUAUACUGUCCGGUCUGCGCAUGUGCAGACACAUUUUGUUCUGAAGGCGCCAUGACGGGGGUAUUGUACCUGAUGCACUCUUUUGAAUGCUGCAUCCAGCUAUGGAUUUUCGGUUAUUCUCAUAUCUGAUUGUCUUGGUGUGAUGUGGAACCAAACCUAAUUCUUUGGGGAGCUCAUUGUUUUGCCUGUGCAGUGGCCUUUUUCAGCAGGAUAAUGUGUCCUGCCAUGCUGCAAAAAUUGUUCAGGAAUGGUUUAGGGGUGGAAGAAAAUAUCGAUACACGGGCUCCAUCCAUUUUCUACCGCUUAUCCGGGGCCGGGUCGCGGGGGCAGCAGUCUAAGC